Molecule: ribosomal RNA, 449 nt
Filed under: uncultured bacterium
Lineage: Bacteria
Description: partial 16S ribosomal RNA
Rfam family: Bacterial small subunit ribosomal RNA
Source: RNAcentral
GUCGAGAAUCUUUCACAAUGGGGGCAACCCUGAUGGAGCGACGCCGCGUGGAGGAUAAGGUCUUCGGAUUGUAAACUCCUGUCAUGCGUGAACAAGGUUGCUUGGUUAAUACCUGGGCAAAUUGAUGGUAACGCAAGAGGAAGAGACGGCUAACUCUGUGCCAGCAGCCGCGGUAAUACAGAGGUCUCAAGCGUUGUUCGGAAUCACUGGGCGUAAAGGGUGCGUAGGUGGCGUGGUAAGUCAGAUGUGAAAGCCCGGGGCUCAACCUCGGAACUGCAUCCGAUACGGCCAUGCUAGAGUACUGGAGAGGUGACUAGAAUUCUCGGUGUAGCAGUGAAAUGCGUAGAUAUCGAGAGGAAUACCAAAGGCGUAGGCAGGUCACUGGACAGUUACUGACACUGAGGCACGAAGGCCAGGGGAGCGAACGGGAUUAGAUACCCGUGUAGUCC